UUUAAUUUGAUGCAAGACAUUUCUGCAUUUUCUAUUUUUUUGUAGUUACAAACAAUUCACUGCAACAAAACUUGCAGUUUCAAAGUAACAUAUACAAAACGGAAACAGAUACGUACAUACGAUUUACAUUAAUGAUAAUCUGAAUAGGAUAAUGGGUAAAACAAAAUUAAAUAAAUGUUGAAACUUUUUUUUCUCACUUUAUAAAAUGCUUCCAUCUAUUCUCUGUGGAAUGUAUUGCGAUGACAUAAAAAAAAAUUACAUUUUGAAAACAUAUAAAAACAUUGAACCUGAAUUGAGUAAGCGCUUCAUGUGGAAUCAAAUCACAUUACAUACAAUACAGGAACAAAUUGGAACAUUUCAUGCACUGUAUAACCAUACAAGUAAAAACUUAAAUAUAAUACAUUUCUUUAAUUCCCAACAGAACAAAUGAAAUGAUUCUCUCUGUAACAUAACGACAAGGACUGAUGAUAUGAUUGGUAUAAUCUAUUGAUGAGAUAGCAGUAAUGGCAGGUAGAAUCUAUUGUUGAGAUGGCAGUAAUGGCAGGUAGAAUCUAUUGAUGAGAUAGCAGUAAUGGCAGGUAGAAUCUAUUGUUGAGAUGGCAGUAAUGGCAGGUAGAAUCUAUUGUUGAGAUGGCAGUAAUGGCAGGUAGAAUCUAUUGAUGAGAUGGCAGUAAUGGCAGGUAUAAUCUAUUGAUGAGAUGGCAGUAAUGGCAGGUAGAAUAUAUUGAUGAGAUGGCAGUAACGUUAAUGGCAGGUAGAAUCUAUUGAUGAGAUGGCAGUAACGUUAAUGGCAGGUAUAAUCUAUUGAUGAGAUGGCAGUAAUGGCAGGUAUAAUCUAUUGAUGAGAUGGCAGUAACGUUAAUGGCAGGUAUAAUCUAUUGAUGAGAUGGCAGUAAUGGCAGGUAUAAUCUAUUGAUGAGAUGGCAGUAACGUUAAUGGCAGGUAGAAUCUAUUGAUGAGAUAGCAGUAACGUUAAUGGCAGGUAGAAUCUAUUGAUGAGAUGGCAGUAACGUUAAUGGCAGGUAGAAUCUAUUGUUGAGAUGGCAGUAAUGGCAGGUAGAAUCUAUUGUUGAGAUAGCAGUAAUGGCAGGUAGAAUCUAUUGAUGAGAUGGCAGUAAUGGCAGGUAUAAUCUAUUGAUGAGAUGGCAGUAAUGGCAGGUAGAAUCUAUUGAUGAGAUAGCAGUAACGUUAAUGGCAGGUAGAAUCUAUUGAUGAGAUGGCAGUAAUGGCAGGUAGAAUCUAUUGAUGAGAUAGCAGUAAUGGCAGGUAGAAUCUAUUGAUGAGAUGGCAGUAAUGGCAGGUAGAAUCUAUUGUUGAGAUAGCAGUAAUGGCAGGUAGAAUCUAUUGAUGAGAUAGCAGUAAUGGCAGGUAUAAUCUAUUGAUGAGAUGGCAGUAAUGGCAGGUAGAAUAUAUUGAUGAGAUGGCAGUAAUGGCAGGUAGAAUCUAUUGUUGAGAUAGCAGUAACGUUAAUGGCAGGUAGAAUAUAUUGAUGAGAUGGCAGUAACGUUAAUGGCAGGUAGAAUCUAUUGAUGAGAUAGCAGUAACGUUAAUGGCAGGUAGAAUCUAUUGAUGAGAUAGCAGUAAUGGCAGGUAGAAUCUAUUGAUGAGAUAGCAGUAAUGGCAGGUAGAAUCUAUUGUUGAGAUGGCAGUAAUGGCAGGUAGAAUCUAUUGUUGAGAUAGCAGUAAUGGCAGGUAGAAUCUAUUGAUGAGAUAGCAGUAAUGGCAGGUAUAAUCUAUUGAUGAGAUGGCAGUAAUGGCAGGUAGAAUAUAUUGAUGAGAUGGCAGUAAUGGCAGGUAGAAUCUAUUGUUGAGAUAGCAGUAACGUUAAUGGCAGG
Long non-coding RNA from Coregonus clupeaformis (lake whitefish), 1835 nucleotides. RefSeq lists it as uncharacterized. Lineage: Eukaryota; Metazoa; Chordata; Actinopteri; Salmoniformes; Salmonidae. The transcript is spliced from 2 exons. The record is from RefSeq and is a predicted model, not a curated record.